AGAAUCAACGCUGGCGGCGUGCCUCAGACAUGCAAGUCGAACGCGAAAGUCCCCUUCGGGGGGCAAGUAGAGUGGCGCACGGGUGAGUAACACGUAGGUAAUCUACCUUUGGAUGGGGAAUAACAACCGGAAACGGUUGCUAAUACCGCAUAAUGCAGCGGCACCUAAUGGUGACAGUUGUUAAAGCGGGGGAUCGAAAGACCUCGCGUCUGAAGAGGAGCCUGCGGCGGAUUAGCUAGUUGGUAAGGUAAUGGCUUACCAAGGCUACGAUCC
This 273-nucleotide ribosomal RNA is filed under the name uncultured bacterium. Its description in RNAcentral is "partial small subunit ribosomal RNA". It matches the Rfam family "Bacterial small subunit ribosomal RNA", at positions 26 to 282 of the family's 1533-position model. The record is from RNAcentral. RNAcentral also lists the same sequence under 1 other name.